GAUGAACGCUGGCGGCGGGCUUAACACAUGCAAGUCGAACGAUGAAGCCCAGCUUGCUGGGUGGAUUAGUGGCGAACGGGUGAGUAACACGUGAGUAACCUGCCCUUGACUUUGUGGUAAGCCUGGGCAACUGGGUCUAAUACUGGAUAUGACUUCUCAUCUCCUGGUGGGGGGUGGAAAGAUUUAUUGGUCUUGGAUGGACUCGCGGCCUAUCAGCUUGUUGGUGAGGGAAUGGCUGACCCAGGCGACGACGGGUAGCCGGCCUGAGAGGGUGAGCGGCCACAAUAGGACUGAGACACGGACCAGACUGCUACGGGGGGCAGCGGUGGGAAACAUUGCACAAUGGGCGCGCGUCUGAUGAAGCGGCGCCGCGUGUGUGAUGCCGGCCUUUGGGGUGUGAACAUCUUUCGGUAGGGACGCAGCGGGUGUGGCGGUACCUGCAGAAGAAGCGCCGGCUAACUACGUG
RNAcentral lists this ribosomal RNA (466 nucleotides) under uncultured bacterium. RNAcentral's name for it is "partial 16S ribosomal RNA". It matches the Rfam family "Bacterial small subunit ribosomal RNA", at positions 28 to 507 of the family's 1533-position model. The record is from RNAcentral.